This is a long non-coding RNA of Ornithodoros turicata, 505 nucleotides long. RefSeq lists it as uncharacterized. NCBI's taxonomy places the organism in Eukaryota, Metazoa, Arthropoda, Arachnida, Ixodida, Argasidae. The record is from RefSeq and is a predicted model, not a curated record. The transcript has 3 exons.
AUAAUCUCAAAGAAGGAGAAUAACUUAGGGGGAGCACAGCUAACGCGAACCGGGUGAGUACUGCCGUAAUGUCGUUCCUGCAGUGGAUCGUACUACUCGCUGGUGUUUGCGUUAGCGACGCAAAAGGCUGGAGUCCUAAACUGCCCCCACCCGUGAAAGGCGGCUGGACGGACAUAAACCCAAAGAGCAGUGAGGUUGCGCGGGUGAGAGAUUUUAUCGCAGACAAAAUGAACUCCGCAGAAGGUAUCCGUGAAGUGAAGAAGGUCCUACGAGCAGAGAAACAAGUUGUUGGGGGAUGGAACUACAGGCUGACACUUCUUGUCGUGGAUCGCCGGAUUAUGCUGUGCGCGUCCACGACACCCAUGCCCCUUCAGUUCACUUGCGUGGCACACGUCCAUGAAGCGCUCUCGGCGCCUUCGCUAACACUGUCGUCAAUGAACUGUGUAGAACCAAGGAGACUGACUUCUGGGAGAUGUUAAAGGAAUAAAGAGACCUUGGAUGUGUA